Molecule: long non-coding RNA, 1367 nt
Organism: Coturnix japonica (Japanese quail)
Lineage: Eukaryota; Metazoa; Chordata; Aves; Galliformes; Phasianidae
Source: RefSeq, a predicted model, not a curated record
CUCAUAAUAUGAAGAAAAAAAUAGAUUAAUAUAAUCUUUCUAAGUCCAGUUUAAGUGAUUCACCAAUAACUUGUCUCAGUUAGAACUCAGUUUACCAGCCAAGCAUUCACCUCCCUUAACUUAAAACAUUUCUUGUUCUUCUUUGCCUUUACCUGCUUCAGUGUUCAGAGUUAUGACUGGGAUGUGCGCUACGUGUCCUCCCUUAAUGCACAACACUGUUUUCCACCUCAAUUAUUGCAGGAAGCAAGGUUAUAUGAAGAAGUAAAUGUGUGAUAAAAUAGCUGGUCUUUGUUGUAAUGCUUGUGUAUCAUGAAGUGUUAUAAGUUUGCAUAGCCAGUUUCAAUCCAGGUAUUUCCCAAAGAAUGAAAUUGUUAUUACAGUUUCACUGUUCAUAAACAACUUCUUUUAGCAUACAGGGAAUACACAUGCAGACAUACAUAGAUGCACCUGCAUCACUUAACCUGUUCUGCCAUUUUCUUUCUUUGACCCUCCGUUCAUGUUACUAACAAGAGCUAAUCUUAGCUAGCUAAUGAGAUCUGACAUUAUCGCAGUCCAUUGCAGGAUGGCUGGAGGCUAGAGGAUUUUGUGUAUCUUGUUUUAUUCAUAUGUUGUCCUGGAGAGAAAUGGAAACAUCACGUAAAAGCACUGAGCACUCAGUGUCUGCCUCUGGGCAAAAUACAGGUAAAAGACCCCUUUAAAAUAAAAUCAUAUAAAAUUUAAUGUAAUUUCUAUAUUUUUUAAUAGAAAGACUGUUCAUAAUAGAGGCAUGUCUUACUCUGACCUCAUCUGCCUUGCAUAAAUGCAGAAUUUUUGCAGAUGGGGGAAGACUUACUGUAUAAUUACAUCAGGUUAGCUGAGGUCAAUAAUACUGGAAACAUAUAUUGAUGUGGUGAGUAGCAUUUAUUAAUUUAUUUUCUCUCUCUUACUUCUAGCCAGAAAAUCUUAAAUACUUUUUCAUGAUCACAAUUCCUCUUCAUCUCCUGCUUAUCAAGUAUUCUAGGACAGCAUCCUAUUGUUAUUUUGAGAUAAACCUCUGCCAUGCUGCAGCUUUUUGAGUGCCUUGAAGCUUGCAAAUGACUCAUGUGGCACACUCCCUUCCCUUUAGCCAACAUUGAAGAAGCCUGGAAAAACUAUGUUUGGGAAUGAUCCUCCUCCUGGCUUACAUCACAAAUGACUUCUAUUACAGGAUAAAGCCUGAAGGCACAAUCCAGCCUGAAAUACAUAGUCAUCAUGAACUGUAAAAAUACUUCAUAACAGAAGUUAAAUACUCCAAAUCAUUUACAAUUCUAAACCCAAAUCCCUAUCAGUCUACAUUUCCAAAUUCUUCAAGUAUGUUUUCUUUUUCAAUAAAUGCCAAUAAGAGAUAA